RNAcentral lists this ribosomal RNA (497 nucleotides) under uncultured bacterium. RNAcentral describes it as "partial 16S ribosomal RNA". It matches the Rfam family "Bacterial small subunit ribosomal RNA", at positions 28 to 507 of the family's 1533-position model. The record is from RNAcentral.
GAUGAACGCUGGCGGCGUGCCUAAUACAUGCAAGUCGAGCGAACAGACGAGGAUCUUGCUCCUCUGACGUUAGCGACGGACGGGUGAGUAGCACGUGGCUAACCUACCUAUAAGACUGGGCUAACUUCGGGAAACGGGAGCUCAUACCAUUAUAUUUAUAGAACCGCCUGGUUCUAUAAUGACAAACGGCUUUGCUGUCACUUAUUGAUUGAUCCUCGCCGCAUUAGGUGGUUGGUACGGUAAAGGGUUAACAAGGCAACGCUGCGUAGCCGAAAUGAGAGGGUGAGCGGCCACACUGGAACUGAGACACGGCCCAGACUCCUACGGGAGCCAGCAUUAGGGAAUCUGCCGCAAUGGGCGAAAGCCUGACGGAGCAACGCCGCGUGAGUGAUGAAGGUCUUCGGAUCGUAAAACUCUGUUAUUAGGGAAGAAAAAUUGUGUAAGUAACUAUGCACGGCUUGACGGUACCUAAUCAGAAAGCCACGGCUAACUACGUG